UUUUAUAUUUUUAGAUUUGAUUUUAAAAAUAAAUUUUAUAAAUUAAAAAAAUAUAUUAUUUUAAUAUAUUUCUAAAAAAAAAUAAACAUAAACAUUAUUUUCCGAGGAGGGAUCUUGCCCAAAUCAAGAUCGUGCAUAAACAUAUAUCAUCCUCUGAGUUGCGGGUGGAAAAUGAUGAUGGAAUAUCCAUUCUUUUCUAUCUUCAAAAAAUCUUUCCUGGCGAGAAUCUUUGUUUUCCUCCAGAUGAAUGGGAGAAUUUCUUGGAGCGGAUUGGCAGAGCAGAAUCUACCGGGGAUGUAGAUCUUCAAGAAAAUUCCAGUGAUUGAUUCCUUGGAGCUUAGGAUCUGGGCAUCUUAUCGUGGACAGACUCUAGCUCGGACUGGUUAGAAUUGUUUUAAUUUUGAAUUCGGGAGAAGAGGAUGCACAAAGUGGUGGAUGAUUAUUCUCAGACAAACUCUUCUACAGCACAAGGUUUUGAGUUGUCACGUGCAGCACGGGCACAAGCAGAUUUGAAAGUUCACUUGUGUCAUCUCCUCCCCCGUGAGUCAAAGUUUUUGACCUGCUGAAUUUUCCUGGACAAUUUCAACAAAAUGGAACUCUUUUAUUUAUUUUUGUUUUUGUUUUAGGAGUUUCUCUAUGUUUAUAUAGUGUUUUACAUUUUUUAAAAAUAUUUUUUAUUUAGUUUUAAAUUAAUUUUUAAAAUUUUUUUUAUUUAAAUAUGUUGAUAUUAAAAAUAAAAAAAAUAUUAUUAUAAUCCCUUCUCCAGGUUUCUAAUAAAAUUAUCAUAUAUUUUUUUGGUUCUAAAAAUUGGCAGUGAUUAUCAGCAUGAAGAAUGUUCAAUUGCCAGCCACCUAUCCCUGCGCGCCUUAUUAUUCCAGAAUCACGUAGUUCUCUGAGUCCCACUCUCGUAUCUCUCAUUUAUCAUUUAUUUCUAUUAUGCGAAUUAAUCAUUUAAUUACACCUAGUUUUGACAAAAAUAAGUUUUAUUUUCAGUCCAAAUCUAAACAAAAA
Populus trichocarpa (black cottonwood) is the source of this 1011-nucleotide long non-coding RNA. RefSeq lists it as uncharacterized. The transcript has 3 exons. Lineage: Eukaryota; Viridiplantae; Streptophyta; Magnoliopsida; Malpighiales; Salicaceae. The record is from RefSeq and is a predicted model, not a curated record.